UGCAUAAAAAAGUUAAAAGAACACGAACUCACUUUUUUGUAGGUCCAGAAUUAAUAAGUUCUUGCCUGGUCGGAAUGCUUUAAUGGUACUUCCGCCCAAAUAAUGAAUUGCAAUCGCCUCCUCGUCCAACGAUGGCGACACGGCGGCGAAAUCUUCACAGCUUUCUUCAGAGCAACUGCAAGCAAAUGGCGAGGGCGAGGAUUUCGGAGGCUGCAGCAAGACGGAACAUAUGGGAGGUGAUCACUACUCCUUGCUGCUUGGACGCUUGGUAGUGUUAUGAUGAUAAGUCUAUGUAAGAACUUGUGACGGAGGAGAAAGGUAUAGAUCUGAGGAUGGCAGAUCAUCCGAUGAUUUUGGUCUUCCAUGUUCAACACAUAGAUUAACUUUUCCCUCUGACCUCUGGGAUGUAUCAAUUGUUUGUCCCUUCUGCAAAAAAGAUCGUGAGCUUGAUCAGAAAUAAACAGUGGAACUCCUCUUCAGAGAUUGUGAGGAUCGAAUGCUUUUGGGAGGCAAAUAGACUUGGAAUGGAAGUGGGUAAAUGUUCUUAAAUCACCAAUUCUGCUAUUUUGAAGCAUUGUCUGAGUUUUUUGGAAUGGAAGGAACAAAAUCCUCGUGGAUCGUGCAGAGGGGGACACUAAGACAGCAUGUUCUAUGCAGCGAAGCAGUACAAAAUGUUAAGUGUUUUCAGGAAGCAAUACCAAACGUUUGAACUUUUACUGCAGACAUCUCACAGGGUUACCACAAUUGAAAAAGAUGCUUCUUGAGUCUUCAACUUUUAUGAUAGGAUGGACCUCCAAUUGUAUUACCAAGAAUGUCGGUUAUUCAGGUACUUAAUAGCCAUGCCGGGGUUCGAUUAAGUUUACUUGGAAACAUGAGGCAACUAAGAAUAAGGAUACGGUCCUUGGUGUGUUCUAGAUGCUUAACAUCAAGCACCAAGGCAUAUCCUCAAGUGACCACUACAUAAGCAGAAUGCUGGAAAACGGGGAGGCCAACACCCCUACAAUAUCCUCUACUCAUUUGGAUAGCUAUGGCAUUCCAUUACUUAUGUAACGGCAUUAGACACCACCCCCUAUUAAGGAAUCCACAGAAAUGGUAAAUACAUCAUGUAUUUCCAGUAACAAACGUAAUCUGACCGUUAAGUGACAUUGAAGAUGAAGAUGCACUUCGUGAUCCUACCAUGCAUACCGGAAGGAUUACGGCCUGGAUUUAUAAGCUUGCACCUACUGCUCACUGCUUAGCUACCUCUUUCAGUAGAACUCUAAUUCAGAGAUUGUAAAUCAUCCAAUGCUUUUGAAGGGGAGACGUGGAAUUGAAGUGGAUAAAUCAUACAUGUGCCGAAAUUCCCGAUUCUUUAGGAGAAUUAUCUGCGUUAUUUGGAGUGGAAGGAACAUAAUCCUCAAGGAUCGAUAGGAGGAUGGGCGCAUGCAGUGAGAAGAUUAUCUCAACCGACCACCGCAUAAGCAGAAUGAUGAGUUUGCAGUUUCUUCAUCUAUACAAGUGGAUUUCUCGUAGCAGGGCUUCUAGAUUCAAGAAGGCCACCAUAUAUUCUGGGCUUUGUGCUGCCAUACAUCAGGUGUGGAUAGCUAAAAAAUGAAGCAUUUUGGGAGAAGAGACUGCCCACUGUUAGCAGUUCUUGGCUGCGGAUUCAAGCUGUUGUAAAAGGAUGAAUUCGGGGUGGUUUUAUGCGUAAUUCUUUACAGCUUUGUUUUUGGCCGUUGUUCUGCUGCUUUGUUUUGGUUGUAAAACGUUUUAAGUUCGUGUCUCUUUGGGCCUUUGCCUUGUAGAAUGUAGACAUGUUCUUGUUUUGCGCUUAUUUGUUUAAUUCGAUUAUUACCUUUAGAAAAAAAAAAAUUGUACAUCCGCCUCAAUUUUAGCGCCGAAAUAUUAUAAUCUAUAACUAAAUUUAGUGA
This is a long non-coding RNA of Spinacia oleracea (spinach), 1910 nucleotides long. RefSeq lists it as uncharacterized. The record is from RefSeq and is a predicted model, not a curated record. The transcript is spliced from 4 exons. NCBI's taxonomy places the organism in Eukaryota, Viridiplantae, Streptophyta, Magnoliopsida, Caryophyllales, Amaranthaceae.